This 192-nucleotide ribosomal RNA is filed under the name endophyte RBa7. RNAcentral describes it as "partial small subunit ribosomal RNA". It matches the Rfam family "Eukaryotic small subunit ribosomal RNA", at positions 34 to 228 of the family's 1831-position model. Lineage: Eukaryota; Fungi; Ascomycota. The record is from RNAcentral.
GUCUCAAAGAUUAAGCCAUGCAUGUCUAAGUAUAAGCAAUCUAUACGGUGAAACUGCGAAUGGCUCAUUAAAUCAGUUAUCGUUUAUUUGAUAGUACCUUACUACUUGGAUAACCGUGGUAAUUCUAGAGCUAAUACAUGCUAAAAACCCCGACUUCGGAAGGGGGGUAUUUAUUAGAUAAAAAACCAAUGC